CAGCCGCCGCGGUAAUACGGAGGGAGCUAGCGUUGUUCGGAAUUACUGGGCGUAAAGCGCACGUAGGCGGCUUUGUAAGUUAGAGGUGAAAGCCCGGAGCUCAACUCCGGAAUUGCCUUUAAGACUGCCGAGCUAGCAGGUGAGAGAGGUAAGUGGAAUUCCGAGUGUAGAGGUGAAAUUCGUAGAUAUUCGGAAGAACACCAGUGGCGAAGGCGGCUCACUGGCUCAUACUGGACGCUGAGGUGCGAAAGCGUGGGGAGCAAACAGGAUUAGAUACCCCCGUAGUCCCUGUCUCUUAUAC
RNAcentral lists this ribosomal RNA (301 nucleotides) under uncultured bacterium. Its description in RNAcentral is "partial 16S ribosomal RNA". It matches the Rfam family "Bacterial small subunit ribosomal RNA", at positions 509 to 807 of the family's 1533-position model. The record is from RNAcentral.